GAACCAUGCAUCGGGCAUUUUCUAAUUAAAUCCUUAAAAUGCUUCCAUGCUUUGUAUUAUGUCUCAUCUUCAGAUUUCCUGAACGAUGUAAUGUCAUUCCUCAGCUU
Gossypium raimondii (Peruvian cotton) is the source of this 107-nucleotide non-coding RNA. The record is from Rfam. NCBI's taxonomy places the organism in Eukaryota, Viridiplantae, Streptophyta, Magnoliopsida, Malvales, Malvaceae.